This 254-nucleotide ribosomal RNA is filed under the name uncultured microorganism. RNAcentral describes it as "partial 16S ribosomal RNA". It matches the Rfam family "Archaeal small subunit ribosomal RNA", at positions 474 to 727 of the family's 1478-position model. The record is from RNAcentral.
CACCGGCGGCUCGAGUGGUGGCCACUUUUAUUGGGUCUAAAGCGUCCGUAGCCGGCUUGGCAAGUCCCCUGCGAAAUCUGGCGGCUUAACCGUCAGGCGUCCAGAGGAUACUGCCAGGCUUGGGACCGGGAGAGGUGAGAGGUACCUCAGGGGUAGGGGUGAAAUCUUGUGAUCCCUGAGGGACCACCAGUGGCGAAGGCGUCUCACUAGAACGGGUCCGACGGUCAGGGACGAAAGCUGGGGGCACGAACCGG